GAGAGUAUAGCUCAGUGGUAGAGCAUGUGCUUAGCAUGCACAAGGUCCUGGGUUCAAUUCCCAGUACUGCCA
Molecule: transfer RNA, 72 nt
Filed under: Camelus bactrianus (Bactrian camel)
Lineage: Eukaryota; Metazoa; Chordata; Mammalia; Artiodactyla; Camelidae
Also listed under: 2 other names
Rfam family: tRNA
About the family: Transfer RNA (tRNA) molecules are approximately 80 nucleotides in length. Their secondary structure includes four short double-helical elements and three loops (D, anti-codon, and T loops). Further hydrogen bonds mediate the characteristic L-shaped molecular structure. tRNAs have two regions of fundamental functional importance: the anti-codon, which is responsible for specific mRNA codon recognition, and the 3' end, to which the tRNAs corresponding amino acid is attached (by aminoacyl-tRNA synthetases). tRNAs cope with the degeneracy of the genetic code in two manners: having more than one tRNA (with a specific anti-codon) for a particular amino acid; and 'wobble' base-pairing, i.e. permitting non-standard base-pairing at the 3rd anti-codon position.
Source: Rfam by way of RNAcentral